RNAcentral lists this ribosomal RNA (1501 nucleotides) under Klebsiella sp. YX117S. RNAcentral's name for it is "bacterial SSU rRNA". It matches the Rfam family "Bacterial small subunit ribosomal RNA". Lineage: Bacteria; Pseudomonadati; Pseudomonadota; Gammaproteobacteria; Enterobacterales; Enterobacteriaceae. The record is from RNAcentral.
AGAGUUUGAUCCUGGCUCAGAUUGAACGCUGGCGGCAGGCCUAACACAUGCAAGUCGAGCGGUAGCACAGAGAGCUUGCUCUCGGGUGACGAGCGGCGGACGGGUGAGUAAUGUCUGGGAAACUGCCUGAUGGAGGGGGAUAACUACUGGAAACGGUAGCUAAUACCGCAUAAUGUCGCAAGACCAAAGUGGGGGACCUUCGGGCCUCAUGCCAUCAGAUGUGCCCAGAUGGGAUUAGCUAGUAGGUGGGGUAACGGCUCACCUAGGCGACGAUCCCUAGCUGGUCUGAGAGGAUGACCAGCCACACUGGAACUGAGACACGGUCCAGACUCCUACGGGAGGCAGCAGUGGGGAAUAUUGCACAAUGGGCGCAAGCCUGAUGCAGCCAUGCCGCGUGUGUGAAGAAGGCCUUCGGGUUGUAAAGCACUUUCAGCGGGGAGGAAGGCGAUAAGGUUAAUAACCUUGUCGAUUGACGUUACCCGCAGAAGAAGCACCGGCUAACUCCGUGCCAGCAGCCGCGGUAAUACGGAGGGUGCAAGCGUUAAUCGGAAUUACUGGGCGUAAAGCGCACGCAGGCGGUCUGUCAAGUCGGAUGUGAAAUCCCCGGGCUCAACCUGGGAACUGCAUUCGAAACUGGCAGGCUAGAGUCUUGUAGAGGGGGGUAGAAUUCCAGGUGUAGCGGUGAAAUGCGUAGAGAUCUGGAGGAAUACCGGUGGCGAAGGCGGCCCCCUGGACAAAGACUGACGCUCAGGUGCGAAAGCGUGGGGAGCAAACAGGAUUAGAUACCCUGGUAGUCCACGCCGUAAACGAUGUCGAUUUGGAGGUUGUGCCCUUGAGGCGUGGCUUCCGGAGCUAACGCGUUAAAUCGACCGCCUGGGGAGUACGGCCGCAAGGUUAAAACUCAAAUGAAUUGACGGGGGCCCGCACAAGCGGUGGAGCAUGUGGUUUAAUUCGAUGCAACGCGAAGAACCUUACCUGGUCUUGACAUCCACAGAACUUUCCAGAGAUGGAUUGGUGCCUUCGGGAACUGUGAGACAGGUGCUGCAUGGCUGUCGUCAGCUCGUGUUGUGAAAUGUUGGGUUAAGUCCCGCAACGAGCGCAACCCUUAUCCUUUGUUGCCAGCGGUUAGGCCGGGAACUCAAAGGAGACUGCCAGUGAUAAACUGGAGGAAGGUGGGGAUGACGUCAAGUCAUCAUGGCCCUUACGACCAGGGCUACACACGUGCUACAAUGGCAUAUACAAAGAGAAGCGACCUCGCGAGAGCAAGCGGACCUCAUAAAGUAUGUCGUAGUCCGGAUUGGAGUCUGCAACUCGACUCCAUGAAGUCGGAAUCGCUAGUAAUCGUAGAUCAGAAUGCUACGGUGAAUACGUUCCCGGGCCUUGUACACACCGCCCGUCACACCAUGGGAGUGGGUUGCAAAAGAAGUAGGUAGCUUAACCUUCGGGAGGGCGCUUACCACUUUGUGAUUCAUGACUGGGGUGAAGUCGUAACAAGGUAACC